Molecule: ribosomal RNA, 253 nt
Filed under: uncultured bacterium
Lineage: Bacteria
Description: partial 16S ribosomal RNA
Rfam family: Bacterial small subunit ribosomal RNA
Source: RNAcentral
UACGUAGGGUGCGAGCGUUAAUCGGAAUUACUGGGCGUAAAGCGUGCGUAGGCGGUUCGUUAAGUCAGCUGUGAAAGCCCCGGGCUCAACCUGGGAAUUGCGGUUGAAACUGGCGAACUAGAAUCUGGCAGAGGGGGGUGGAAUUCCACGUGUAGCAGUGAAAUGUGUAGAGAUGUGGAGGAACACCGAUGGCGAAGGCAGCCCCCUGGGCUGAGAUUGACGCUCAGGCACGAAAGCGUGGGGAGCAAACAGG